GUCUCUGUAGCGCAAUGGAUAGCGUGUUGGACUUCUAAUCCAAAGGACGUGGGCUCGAAUCCCACCUGGGAUG
RNAcentral lists this transfer RNA (73 nucleotides) under Trichonephila clavata. It matches the Rfam family "tRNA". From Rfam's summary of the family: Transfer RNA (tRNA) molecules are approximately 80 nucleotides in length. Their secondary structure includes four short double-helical elements and three loops (D, anti-codon, and T loops). The record is from Rfam by way of RNAcentral. Lineage: Eukaryota; Metazoa; Arthropoda; Arachnida; Araneae; Nephilidae.